GGAAAAGCGUUGCAAGACACGCACACACGCACACACGCACACACGCACACACGAACGACCACAGAAAGGAAAGAGGUGAGACACCCAGGAGGCAAAAGGAAAGGCUGUGGUGAGGGGACACGCAGCAAUGCUGCGCACGACGCGGCUGCGGCGCAUUGGGGUGCACAUCCCCAGCGCCAAGGAGCUAGAUGAUCAGGUGCUGAUCAACCGGCUACGCAAGUCUCGACCAAAAAGCGUCUUUUCCCUCAAGGCCCUCACGACAGGCCGCGUGCAAGGCUUCGUCGCCGCUGGCGGUAUUGUUCUCGGCACGGCCAUGUUUCUCGGCCCGUGGCUGUGGGAGGAGGUGCAGGAGCUGAUGGGCAGCAGAUACGUACCCCUGGCGCCGUCGCAGAUGCCCCACACCUCGCCAGAGUGGUGGGAGAACGAGUGGCGCAAGAUGAACCCGCUCUGGCGGGCUGGCGAGUCGAUGAGCGACUUCUUCGUCGGCCCCUAUCGUUUUGUGAAGGAGCAGACGGGGCGCGACAUGUCCUCUGCAGCAGAUUUCGUACGCACCUCACCAUCGUCGUCGCUGUCAUCGUUUGGCGCGGCUGGGGAACAGCAGCGUAGCUUCUUGCAUCGACUCAAGCAAGUGUUUCACCGAUCAGCGUCUCUCACCACUUCUACGUGUGUCACUACUGCUUCUAGUGGUGUAGGGGCUGCCAGCAAAGGUGGCCACUCUCGCCGCGCCACCGCUUCGGCUGUGAUGCUGCCGAACCCGCCGCAGAUGCUGGUGCCGCUCUGCGGCGACUCUCCGAUCAUGCGCACCGCGGCACUGCAGGGGUUCGAGGUGGAUGCUGUGGACUCCUCGCAGACCGCCAUCCAGACAGCCGUCGGCCGCACCGAGGAGGGCCUGCCGCAGGAGUUCUACUCAAAGAUUCACCUGCACUGGAAGAACUUCUUUUCGCCUGAGCUGUGGGAGGGGCCGUUGAAGGGAAAGAAGUACGACGUCAUCUACGAGCGUCAGGGCAUGACCUCGCUGAACCGAGAGCAGCGGCCCGACUACGCUUAUCUGCUGAAGCGCGCCAUGAAGGACGAUGGCCUGAUCUACGUUGAGGGUGUCUUCCGCACGGGGCGGGUGAAGGGUAACAAGUUGAUGGGCCCGCCCUACUCCCUGUCGAAGCGGGAGCUGCAGCAGCUCUUCCCCCUCAGCGAGGGCUAUUAUGUGCGGUGCGAGGAGAAGACGGAUGCGAUGCAGCAACUAAGCCGCGAGAAUCGCAUUCUCAAGCGCGUGCCAAAGGAGCUCUACGUGACUCCGUUCAGCUGCGUCGUGUUUCGUGAGUCCACCGUGAAUCUGAGAACACGGACGGAGCCGCUGCAGCACCCCGAGCCACCGACAUUGACUCCCCCACAAGAGGGCUUUGUGUGGUAGUCGCGCUGCGGCCUUAUCUUUUCUUUCGCUACGUUGACCUUCGUGCUCCUGUGUUUACGAGUGCCGUCGCAGCUGCUUUUCCAGCCCUGGCUGUGACGCAGCGAGCCGACCUCUGCACGCGCGUCUCUCUCUACCCCCCACACACGCAUGUACAGGGGAGGAAAAGAGGCGCAAGCGCUUGACAGAGAGACGUGUGCACACACGGACUGGUGCUCCCGUCCUCGCCCCUCUUUCCGGGAUCUCUCUCUCUCCUUACCGCUCAGCUCUUUUCGUCUGUGUGCUGCCGACGGCGCUGUUGAUGACUUGGUUGGUUGCGUGGAUGUAUCACACUCAUGCGUGCCUGUGUAAUGGGAGGUAGGCAGAGGAGUGGGGAAGCGUUUUCUUCUCCACAACGUCUUCCCCUUCUCUCUUUCUCCCUCUUCAGCAAUGCUCGACGUGGUGCCGACAGGAUUCCGUCAAGAGAAUGCACACACGCGUAUCGCGACUGGGACAUCAGCGGCGAGAUGGCACACCGACACGCAUUCACACAUCUGCACUGUGCGUGUCUGUCUGUCUGUACGUGUGUGUGUGUGUGUCAGUGCCUGACGCAUGGAGGGGAGGUCUACCGCAUGUAGCAAGACGUCGGUGCCAUUCAUGCUCUUGUACUAUAUUGCUGGCAUCCUCGUCCCCCAUCCACCUCUCCACCUCGCUCCGUCUCGCUGCAGGUAUCUUGGCGCCCCCACCCCCUCCCUGUCUUCACACCUCCGCAGUCCUGCAGAAGAAGAAAAAAGCCGCUUGAGUGCUCUCGAGUAAGUGCCCCUGCGUGCGUGCGUGUGCGAUCGUCUUUCCGCCGACUCUCUCGCAUCUCUUGGUGUUGCCCCCUCCCUCCCCCUCCAUCUUUCUCCAUCGCCUGUGGUGCGCAUGCGUGUCUGGGGUGCUCGCAUACCUGCUGACCAACACACACGCCCACACGCCCACACAUCUAUCGAUAUAUCUACGUGUGCGUAG
Molecule: unclassified non-coding RNA, 2395 nt
Filed under: Leishmania donovani
Lineage: Eukaryota; Euglenozoa; Kinetoplastea; Trypanosomatida; Trypanosomatidae
Description: gene:LdHU3.08.1520(CDS-product:Thiopurine_S-methy ltransferase_(TPMT)_putative)
Source: RNAcentral